UUAAAUCAACCCACCGAGAAAGACGGGAACGUUAAACAGUGUAAUAUGACUACUGGACGCGAGGGGCGAGCGAGAGCGAAAUGCAGGAAGUUUUCCACGUAUUAAAGCAGGGGGGUCCAAACUUUUUCCACUGAGGGCCACAGACAGAAAAAUAUGCGAAAGGUUGAGCCGCUCACUAAAGUUAAGGUAUAUCACCUCUAGUGUAUUAACAGUAAUACAAAUCAAUCAAUCAAAUGUAGGUAAAUUAUGCUUGAUAAUUUAUUAUACUUACAGAAAAAACUGCAUACAUCACAUCUUUCUAUGUAUGGGUUUUCAUUUUUUUUACAAAAAGGGUUGGCAGCUCAUCCUCAGAUUGCUUCUUCGUCAGGAUGGGGACCCCCUUCACAGCCCUGUAUAAAGAGGAAAGGCUUUAUUUAACCUACUUAUGCAAAUCAUUCAUCAGCUAACGUGUUUUAGAAAAUGUGAUCAACUUUAAUUGGCUGCAUUUAUUAAGUAAUUGGGCUUUUGAACACAUAAAUACUGUGUAAUAUAUUUGAACUCGCCUACAAUGGGAACAGUGUUGCACUUAAUGGGAGCAGUGAUGCUGCUCUGGACUGAAGGACGGCUGGCAGGUCACGAGUAAGUUUGCUGGUUGAGAUGUGAAGGACAUCACAGAGAUGGCUGUCGCUCAUUUUGGUUCUCAAUCUGCUUUUGUUCAGAGUUCACAGAGAAAAUGUUUGCUCGCAUAUGUAUGUUGUGCCAAACAGACUGGUCAUUCUUUUUGCGUGGCGUCGCGUCAGAGGAAACUUGGCCUUUUCCAAGCUCCGGUAGAAGUCGGGUAGGGAGAGGAGCUGCAUCUCGAUGAGUUCUAAUUGCAGACUCUCUUCCACUUCUUCUGCAUCCAGCAGGAAGGGAGUUGAGAACAGCUUGAUUUCUUUCUCAAUGACAGAAACAUCUUGGAAGCGCUGAUUGAAUUGUGUCAUAAGAGUUGUGAUCACAGAAACAUAUUUCCCCUUUUUAGCAGAGAGGUCGGCCUUUGGAUGAGCACGUUUGAUUUCGGACAGCGUAGGGAAGUGCGCAAGGUUGAAGUUGCGUAGUUGUGUCUCAAAAAGACGAAGCUUCGCACAGAAAGUUGUGGCACAAGCUGGUCUCUGCCUUUUAGGCUCUUGUUCAGUGAGUUCAGAUGACCAGUAAGAUCAACUAGAAAGGCAAUAAGGGAAUAAAACCGCUUCAGCACGGAGCCGCGACUAAGCCAGCGCACGUCACAAUGAUAGAGUACGUCCCCGUAUUCAGCAUCGACAUCAGAUAGGAAAGCUUAGUUCUCUGUGGUAGAGCCCUCGUGCUCGAAUUAUGUUGACAGUUUUCACAACUGUGGUCAUCACAUCGCCAAGCUGGACUGUCUUGGCACAGAGAGCUUCUUGGUGGAUGAUACAGUGCAAUUUUACAGCCUCGCCUCCACUCUCUGGCACCUUGGCGCACACCAUAGAUGCCAUUCCUUUGGGCUCGCCUGUCAUAGCGGGAGCCCCGUUCGUUGCAACUCCACACAGCUCGUCCCAUUUAAGUUCCAUCUUGUCAAUUGCACCUGACGCGGCUUCAAAAAUGUCCUCCCCCGUUGUUGUGCCCUUUAGACUCCGAAGAUCAAGCAGCUCCUCCGUGAUGCAAAAGUCAUCGUCAACUCCCCGUUCCAUUCAACGCACAAUUGUGUUUGUGGACAUGCUCACGUUGUUGAAUUCCUGCAUCUUUUCCGGGCACAUUAUUCCAGCGACUUUAAUGAGGCACUGUUUAACCAAGUCAGCGUCUGAGAAAGCUUUCCCGCGGCGCGCUAUGAGUUGAGCUACCUCAUAGCUAGCUAUUGUAGCGUUUUCUUGUGUGUUGUUAGCAGGGUAAAAGUACUGUUGUUGAGCCUGCAGGUUAGCUGCCAUGUGCUGGACUUUGUCCUCUUGCUCAGCAGCAGUGUAGGACGUGAAGGUCGGAUGCUUGGUUUCGUAGUGUCGUCGUACAUUGGACUCUUUCAUCACUGCAACCGUUUCAUUGCAAAUCAAACAGACACACUUCUCCUUGACUUCUUUAAAGAAAUAUUCAUUUUCCCACCGUGUUUAAAAUGUUCUGCAUUCACUUGCUAUCUUGCGUUUCUUUGCUUCUGCCAUUUUGUCGUUGCGGAAUUUUUUUAUUUAAACAUUUUUUUUGUGGAAAAGCUGCAUUAGGACUGCAGCUAGUGAGUAGCUCCACCUACUGGUCAAACUAAGAACUACAAUACAGUCAAGGGCAAGUUUCAUGUGUGGGCCACAUUCCAUUCUAUUUUUAUAAUUUGCUGGGCCAAUAAAAAAUGGAUCCCGGGCCGCAGUUGGCCCGCGGGCCGUAUUUUGGACACCCCUGUAUUAAAGCAACGAGGAAGACGACAGUUGCACUGCUAUGGCAACGCCAUCUGUUGCUAGGGACUACGGCUUGGACGAAGGAGGGGGGGGAUACUUAGACGCGGCGCGAGGAGAUUCUGUCCCGCGACCAGCGGAACGUAGAUCAGCAACGUGAAUCAGGAUGGUCGGAUCCAUGUGUGUGCAGUUACAGAACCAACGAUGUGGCUGGCGAUACGAAAUGAAACCACAGGCAAACGGAUCUCACGGCGGAGACCCGGGAAAAGAAAAGAAAAUAAGGAACUAUUCUGACCAUGAGACAUCAUUCAACAGCGUAACACAGUCGGCGCUUUCACUCUCUUACAGCAAACGUAUCACAGCAUCAGAUCAACAGGGGACAUUACGACAUUUGCAGGUACACAUUCAAACAUAAAUCAAAGGUAGCGGAUUCGUUGAUCCGGACUCUAUCGUACCACGUUAUGACUGAACAAAUCACAUAAACAUCAAGUUCAUAUCAACACGCUAAAUUAGUCUGCCCAGAAAACCAGUGUUACUGUUUGAUGGGCGUUGGUCAUCAGCUUCCAGCUGACUGAGGACAGUUGAGCUCCGCGUAGGGAAACUCUGUGGAUGAAGGCGAUUUCGGCCGUGGGGUCCGAACUUCUCGUUGGGAACAGAGGCGGCGAGUCAACAGGAAUGAAAUCAAAAGGGAAAAGGAAGCGGGACGUAGUGGAGCGCGAGUCUUGAGUUCGUCCAGCGAGAUUAAGACUGAAACUUGGGAAUUGGAGGGAAAGAAAAGAAACCAAACAACGUUGUGUUGUCUCGAUCUGUCACUAACGGGAAGUCAGGCGAAAGAGAUCGAUUCUUUGGCGCAAUCUCUUCUUAUGAACUUGAGGUCCAUAAAUAAAUGUCACUGUCCUCGGCCAAUGGGAGCGCUCGGUGUUCUUUGGUACGUCCUCUUUUUAUGGCCAAGGGGGUCUGGAGUGCUGCAGGGGUCCUGUUAUCAGCCCCUGGCAUCAGGCCACGGGGGACCCCUAUAUGUUUGUGUUCUUCCUUUGUCCUCAGUGAAGAAACACGUGGUGAGGUUCAUUAGCAGGGUGGAGGCCCAACAGAAGUAUGAACAUUUAGCAUCCAGACACUCGAUUGGUUUUCUCCGCCAUGCGCCUGCAGAUCAGAGCGACGGCGGGUGUGAAAAGUGGUCGGUGGAAGGAUCCUUUGUCAGAAGCCACAAGCCGAUCUCAGUUGGUAUUUAGCGACAUGGACCCUCUUCCUCCUCCUCAUGCAGAUUCCAUGUAACGUUACAUGAGGACCUUCAUGACCAUGAGUUUGUUGUUUUCUACCUUUAUGGAGAAUCUGCCACAACACAGCGACUUGCAAGUAGCGCAGCGCCUUAAAUAAAGUCACGUGUGUCUUUAUGCGGCUUUAGAAAUGAACACAAAGGGAUUCUGUAUUUGCUCAUAAAGUCUGAAAAACGGCUUAUUUGGCCGAUGUUUUGAUAAGCGACCGAAGCCAGUUCCGUGUUUCCAUCAUUAUAACAGGGGUGCCCCCCCAUGAAGUAGUACAACGGGGAGACACUGCAGUCCACCUGAUCAAUGGGACAACGUGGACGUCCUCCGACUCGCCUCAUUCAGCCUCACUGGAAAAUGGCUUCUGCUUUUAUGUGUUACAGUUGUGUGAUAAAGUGUUUGCUGCCUUCCUGAUUCCUCAUUUCUUUCAUGUUCAGGCAUGAAAAUCCCUCACCUUUUUUUGGGGGGGGGGGGGUAUGGCAGCAAAUCACUGCCAAAAUUCCAGAGCGCAAAUCAGGUUGAUGCGCGUAAAUCAAACAUCCGCGAGCAAAUAAAUAAAUAAACAAAUAAAUAAAUAAAUAUCUCUCGUGAGACGGACUUUUGAACGUGACCUUCGUUGCUCGCGAGGAGAAUCUCUUCUCGCGCUCGAAGGAGUUUUCUACGCGCUCGCUGUUGUUCUUUCUGACAGUAAGGGGGCGGAGCCAGUCACCAUGGUCUCUACACCUGAUUGGUUACAAACCCCGUCUUUGGAUUGGCUGGAGUGAUGCAUUCACACAACUAUAGAAGCCCAUUUCCGCACUGAAGAAAGGGGAUAGAAAGUCUAAAUUAUGAGAUAAAACGUUGUGAAAACACAAACGCCACCUUUAUGUAACCGUAGUGGAGCGUAGAUGACAACCAGCUACAAGCAUCAUUUACCAUCAUUACCGGCACAUUAAGACUGAUGCGUCCAGCUCGCAGACCGGCUGGUGAUUUGCCGCCGUAGCAGUCAAACGUUUGGCGUCGGGGCGGGUGGAUGGGGGUGUGGGGAGGUGGAGAUGGUCCUUUCAGGGUCCGAUGGAUGCUGCGAGGUGCGUCCGCUCCCGCCGCCCCCCUCGCCAUCCACUCCUUAAAUCUUCGGCUGCUUUUAGAAUAACUUAUGUUCCCCGUUAAGAUGGUUCAGCUACUGUAGAGAAAAGGGCGCCGUCUCUCGCUCUUUAAUCUCAUGAAGUGCUCGGCGAGAACGACAGUUUUGUUUCUCCGACGCGCCCUGAAAGCAGCUCCAUAUCUCACGCGCUUGAGCACCGCUCAGCAUCUCACCGUCGUAGACAAACUUUGCCGUGUUUGGCAGAGCGCCUUGAGCGCCGUGUACAACCAGUAUGGAUAAACCGAUUAACCAAUUGAUCCAUAUAUAUAAGGCGCUCCGGAUUAUAAAACACUGUCGCUUUGUGAGGAAAUUAAAGCCUUUUAAGUGCGCCUUGGAGUGCGGACAAUGCGGUAUGUUGACUUUAAUACUACAAGAGGGCGCCGCGUUUGUUAAACAACGACAGGCGGACAAGAGCAGCCGUUUCCAGCGAGAGCCGUAUUGUUUUAUUAAUCUGUUCGUUUAAAUUGUUUGUGCUUCAUCAAUUAAUGUUUCACAUAACUAAUGUGCCGC
Molecule: long non-coding RNA, 5246 nt
Organism: Gasterosteus aculeatus aculeatus (three-spined stickleback)
Lineage: Eukaryota; Metazoa; Chordata; Actinopteri; Perciformes; Gasterosteidae
Source: Ensembl